CCCUUAGAUGUCCGGGGCUGCACGCGCGCUACACUGUAGAAAGCAGCGUGCUUUAAAACCUUUCCUGAAAAGGAUGGGUAACCCCAGCAAAAUUCUACGUGCUUGGGAUAGAGAUUUGCAAUUUUCUCUCUUGAACGAGGAAUUCCCAGUAAGUGCGAGUCAUCAGCUCGCGUUGAUUACGUCCCUGCCCUUUGUACACACCGCCCGUCGCACCUACCGAUUGAAUGGUUCGGUGAAGAUCUCGGACUUCGAUAUUUAUUCUUUAUUGAGUUUAUAUUGUGGGAAGUUAUCUAAACCUCAUCAUUUAGAGGAAGGUGAAGUCGUAACA
Molecule: ribosomal RNA, 328 nt
Filed under: uncultured eukaryote
Lineage: Eukaryota
Description: partial 18S ribosomal RNA
Rfam family: Eukaryotic small subunit ribosomal RNA
Source: RNAcentral